GGAAGUUUGAUCAAACUUAACGCUGGGGUCUGCCAAGUGUGGUCUGCGCAAUCGCUUUAGACGCAGCUGACACAAUUGUCCUCUAUCAAAGGUUAAUCUUGAUCCGGGUAUUUCUAGGCAACUGCUGAGGACGAAAAUACACGCAGCUAUUUCCUGUAACUGACGAUUGAGCAAUCGAGUGUAAUCGUUGGAGGCUUGAUGAGUUUAGACUCUUUCUCGUAGAUGUUAAAACGAUCAGAUCGUAACGGAAGGAUAUACAAGCUGUGUUACCAGAAUGGUUGAAUACUACAUUUUCAUCAUCGUACUAAUCUUCAUAAAAAUUCUCUUUUGGAUUGUAUUCUGCUCCGUUAGAGCUCAGCCAAAGGAGAAGCGAUGGGUGCAUUCAUCGUCACGGCCAGGAAGGAAUAAUGAUCGGACGCCCAUUAUUGACUGCGAAGUCCCACCGGAUGUGUCAAGUCUGAACGGAUCGCCUAGCAACCCGGACGCCUCGUCACACAACCAGUCUCCGACGUACGGACGAGCUGAUCGUGAUUUGCAUAAUUCAAACUCAUACUCAUAUCCUGUCUAAGAUGGAGCCAAACCAGCUUGCACCUUCAAUUACUUCAGAUGUCUCAGUUAUAAUUUGUUCAUAUAUAAUUUGAGUGAGUGAGUGAGUUUAGUUUUACGCCGCACUCAGCAACAUUCCAGCUAUAUGGCGGC
Haliotis rubra (blacklip abalone) is the source of this 699-nucleotide long non-coding RNA. RefSeq lists it as uncharacterized. The record is from RefSeq and is a predicted model, not a curated record. The transcript is spliced from 4 exons. NCBI's taxonomy places the organism in Eukaryota, Metazoa, Mollusca, Gastropoda, Lepetellida, Haliotidae.